GAAACACUCCACUCCAUUCAAAUGUCUUGCUUUCACCUGCCGAUCCCAUUGUGAAGAAAGGUGCAGCAUGCCUUCCAAUAUUUCUCCUAGAACAGCUCAAGUGAGGUGAAACAGUGGAAAGUCAGCCCUGCUGAUUUGAAUCAUGCCACCCCACCUUACCAGCGCCCCAAAUGUCAGCCUUCUUCCCACUCAGAUGUGGUUGUCCUUGGAAAGACCCAGAACAGACGUUUCAUCACCAAGUGGUACUAGACAAAAACGGAAGGUAUAAGCAAAGCAGACAUAAGUACUUAUCAAGAAGCAGAGCAACCAGGAGACAACGGAAGGAAAGAGGCCCUGGUCUCCUCGGGAACUGUGUUACUGACAGAACAAGGAACAGCUUUGGCUGGAGAUGUUUAUGCUGACUUUGGAGUAUGGAUCAGAAGAGGGUCCUGGCUUGCUGAUGGAGCUCAGGCCUAUGGAAAACAGGAUGAUCUUAGAGUUAAAAACAAACAACCCUGGGUGUGGUCUCAGGGCCUGGGAGGAAAGGAUGAGUCAGCUGAAACUGAUGGAAAUUAACGAAUCUCUCAAGAGAUGCUGCCAUUUCCUGAGCACCUGUGAGCUCAUCUUAUCCUCACAACUGAAAGUGCUUUUUCCGACGUCAGACAUGGAAAAAUAUGGCACCUAAAAGAGGAUGUCACUUUGACAACCAAUACUCCCCCAGCCCA
RNAcentral lists this long non-coding RNA (704 nucleotides) under Homo sapiens (human). Its description in RNAcentral is "HSALNT0240139". The record is from RNAcentral. Lineage: Eukaryota; Metazoa; Chordata; Mammalia; Primates; Hominidae.